AUUGAACGCUGGCGGCAGGCCUAACACAUGCAAGUCGAGCGGAUGAAGGGAGCUUGCUCCUGGAUUCAGCGGCGGACGGGUGAGUAAUGCCUAGGAAUCUGCCUGGUAGUGGGGGAUAACGUCCGGAAACGGGCGCUAAUACCGCAUACGUCCUGAGGGAGAAAGUGGGGGAUCUUCGGACCUCACGCUAUCAGAUGAGCCUAGGUCGGAUUAGCUAGUUGGUGGGGUAAGGGCCUACCAAGGCGACGAUCCGUAACUGGUCGGAGAGGAUGAUCAGUCACACUGGAACUGAGACACGGUCCAGACUCCUACGGGAGGCAGCAGUGGGGAAUAUUGGACAAUGGGCGAAAGCCUGAUCCAGCCAUGCCGCGUGUGUGAAGAAGGUCUUCGGAUUGUAAAGAACUUUAAGUUGGGAGGAAGGGCAGUAAGUUAAUACCUUGCUGUUUUGACGUUACCAACAGAAUAAGCACCGGCUAACUUCGUG
Molecule: ribosomal RNA, 484 nt
Filed under: uncultured bacterium
Lineage: Bacteria
Description: partial 16S ribosomal RNA
Rfam family: Bacterial small subunit ribosomal RNA
Source: RNAcentral